RNAcentral lists this ribosomal RNA (442 nucleotides) under uncultured bacterium. RNAcentral's name for it is "partial 16S ribosomal RNA". It matches the Rfam family "Bacterial small subunit ribosomal RNA", at positions 338 to 795 of the family's 1533-position model. The record is from RNAcentral.
CCUACGGGGGGCAGCAGUAGGGAAUCUUUCACAAUGGGCGAAAGCCUGAUGGAGCAACGCCGCGUGCAGGAUGAAGGCCUUCGGGUUGUAAACUGCUUUUAUAAGCGAGAAAUAUGAUGGUAACUUAUGAAUAAGGAUCGGCUAACUACGUGCCAGCAGCCGCGGUCAUACGUAGGAUCCGAGCAUUAUCCGGAGUGACUGGGUGUAAAGAGUUGCGUAGGUGGCAUAAUAAGUAGCUAGUGAAAUCUGGUGGCUCAACCAUUCAGACUAUUAGCUAAACUGUUAAGCUCGAGACCGUUAGGGGUAACUGGAAUUUCUGGUGUAGGAGUGAAAUCCGUAGAUAUUAGAAGGAACACCAAUAGCGUAGGCAGGUUGCUGGGACGGUUCUGACACUAAGGCACGAAAGCGUAGGGAGCAAACGGGAUUAGAUACCCCUGUAGUC